This 1343-nucleotide ribosomal RNA is filed under the name uncultured bacterium. Its description in RNAcentral is "16S ribosomal RNA". It matches the Rfam family "Bacterial small subunit ribosomal RNA", at positions 28 to 1378 of the family's 1533-position model. The record is from RNAcentral.
GACGAACGCUGGCGGCGUGCUUAACACAUGCAAGUCGAACGGAAAGGCCCUGCUUUUGUGGGGUGCUCGAGUGGCGAACGGGUGAGUAACACGUGAGUAACCUGCCCUUGACUUUGGGAUAACCUCAGGAAACUGGGGCUAAUACCGGAUAGGAGCUCCUGCUGCAUGGUGGGGGUUGGAAAGUUUCGGCGGUUGGGGAUGGACUCGCGGCUUAUCAGCUUGUUGGUGGGGUAGUGGCUUACCAAGGCUUUGACGGGUAGCCGGCCUGAGAGGGUGACCGGCCACAUUGGGACUGAGAUACGGCCCAGACUCCUACGGGAGGCAGCAGUGGGGAAUAUUGCACAAUGGGCGGAAGCCUGAUGCAGCAACGCCGCGUGCGGGAUGACGGCCUUCGGGUUGUAAACCGCUUUCGCCUGUGACGAAGCGUGAGUGACGGUAAUGGGUAAAGAAGCACCGGCUAACUACGUGCCAGCAGCCGCGGUGAUACGUAGGGUGCGAGCGUUGUCCGGAUUUAUUGGGCGUAAAGGGCUCGUAGGUGGUUGAUCGCGUCGGAAGUGUAAUCUUGGGGCUUAACCCUGAGCGUGCUUUCGAUACGGGUUGACUUGAGGAAGGUAGGGGAGAAUGGAAUUCCUGGUGGAGCGGUGGAAUGCGCAGAUAUCAGGAGGAACACCAGUGGCGAAGGCGGUUCUCUGGGCCUUUCCUGACGCUGAGGAGCGAAAGCGUGGGGAGCGAACAGGCUUAGAUACCCUGGUAGUCCACGCUGUAAACGGUGGGUACUAGGUGUGGGGUCCAUUCCACGGGUUCCGUGCCGUAGCUAACGCUUUAAGUACCCCGCCUGGGGAGUACGGCCGCAAGGCUAAAACUCAAAGGAAUUGACGGGGCCCCGCACAAGCGGCGGAGCAUGCGGAUUAAUUCGAUGCAACGCGUAGAACCUUACCUGGGUUUGACAUGGAUCGGGAGUGCUCAGAGAUGGGUGUGCCUCUUUUGGGGUCGGUUCACAGGUGGUGCAUGGCUGUCGUCAGCUCGUGUCGUGAGAUGUUGGGUUAAGUCCCGCAACGAGCGCAACCCUUGUUCACUGUUGCCAGCACGUUAUGGUGGGGACUCAGUGGAGACCGCCGGGGUCAACUCGGAGGAAGGUGGGGAUGACGUCAAGUCAUCAUGCCCCUUAUGUCCAGGGCUUCACGCAUGCUACAAUGGCUGGUACAGAGAGUGGCGAGCCUGUGAGGGUGAGCGAAUCUCGGAAAGCCGGUCUCAGUUCGGAUUGGGGUCUGCAACUCGACCUCAUGAAGUCGGAGUCGCUAGUAGUCGCAGAUCAGCAACGCUGCGGUGAAUACGUUCCCGGG